GGGAGAGGAUGAUGAGCAUGAGGCUACGUUUGAAAUCCACUUACCCCAAAAUCUGAUGAAAGCACACUGUAUGUUGUGAGAACCACAUCUUGCUCAGACAGAAGUUUGACAGAUCGGCUGCGCUCUGCACCAUAGUACAGGUUUUAUGAGCAGAUUUGAAACACUCACCAGCCAGUUGCUAAGGACAGACAGAGGACAUACAAUUAAAGUGGCUCUGGCCCCUGAGCCCCCACCGGAUCCAGAUGGGACCUUACUAGUGCCUGCAACCCAUACAGAUGGAUUCCUGUCCAACCCGUGAGGAACUGCAAUCCAGAGCAGCAGCAAAGUCCACAUCAUCCAACAAAACCACUCCUGGGAUUGAGAGAACCAGAACAUAAGAUGUGACUGAAAGUAUUAUCCAACGCUAUAGAAGUGUUGGAUAAUAA
Long non-coding RNA from Puntigrus tetrazona (Sumatra barb), 425 nucleotides. RefSeq lists it as uncharacterized. The transcript is spliced from 3 exons. The record is from RefSeq and is a predicted model, not a curated record. NCBI's taxonomy places the organism in Eukaryota, Metazoa, Chordata, Actinopteri, Cypriniformes, Cyprinidae.